This 746-nucleotide ribosomal RNA is filed under the name uncultured Peptoniphilus sp. RNAcentral describes it as "bacterial SSU rRNA". It matches the Rfam family "Bacterial small subunit ribosomal RNA", at positions 28 to 776 of the family's 1533-position model. Lineage: Bacteria; Bacillati; Bacillota; Tissierellia; Tissierellales; Peptoniphilaceae. The record is from RNAcentral.
GACGAACGCUGGCGGCGCGCCUAACACAUGCAAGUCGAGCGAUGAAAGUUGUUCAGAUCCUUCGGGUGACGAACUUCCGGAUUAGCGGCGAACGGGUGAGUAACGCGUGAGGAACCUGCCUCUCACAACGGGAUAGCCUCGGGAAACCGGGAUUAAUACCGUAUGACACUAUCAGAUGGCAUCAUCAGGUAGUUAAAGUGCUAGCGGUGAGAGAUGGCCUCGCGUCUGAUUAGUUAGUUGGUGGGGUAACGGCCUACCAAGACGACGAUCAGUAACCGGCCUGAGAGGGUGAACGGUCACAUUGGAACUGAGACACGGUCCAAACUCCUACGGGAGGCAGCAGUGGGGAAUCUUGCACAAUGGGGGAAACCCUGAUGCAGCGACGCCGCGUGAGCGAUGAAGGUUUUCGAAUCGUAAAGCUCUGUCCUAUGGGAAGAUAAUGACGGUACCAUAGGAGGAAGCCCCGGCUAACUACGUGCCAGCAGCCGCGGUAAUACGUAGGGGGCGAGCGUUGUCCGGAAUUACUGGGCGUAAAGGGUUCGCAGGCGGCAUGACAAGUCCGAUGUAAAAGGCGAAAGCUCAACUUUCGUAAGCAUCGGAAACUGUCAAGCUUGAGUGAAGGAGAGGCAAGUGGAAUUCCUAGUGUAGCGGUGGAAUGCGUAGAUAUUAGGAGGAAUACCGGUGGCGAAGGCGACUUGCUGGACUUCAACUGACGCUGAGGAACGAAAGCGUGGGUAGCAAACAGG